UGGGGAAUAUUGCACAAUGGGCGCAAGCCUGAUGCAGCCAUGCCGCGUGUGUGAAGAAGGCCUUCGGGUUGUAAAGCACUUUCAGCGAGGAGGAAGGUGGUGAGCUUAAUACGCUCAUCAAUUGACGUUACUCGCAGAAGAAGCACCGGCUAACUCCGUGCCAGCAGCCGCGGUAAUACGGAGGGUGCAAGCGUUAAUCGGAAUUACUGGGCGUAAAGCGCACGCAGGCGGUUUGUUAAGUCAGAUGUGAAAAUCCCCGGGCUCAACCUGGGAACUGCAUUUGAAACUGGCAAGCUAGAGUCUCGUAGAGGGGGUAGAAUUCCAGGUGUAGCGGUGAAAUGCGUAGAGAUCUGGAGGAAUACCGGUGGCGAAGGCGGCCACCUGGACGAAGACUGACGCUCAGGUGCGAAAAGCGUGGGGAGCAAAACAGGAUUAGAUACCCUGGUAGUCCACGCUGUAAAACGAUGUCGAUUUUGGAGGUUGUG
RNAcentral lists this ribosomal RNA (485 nucleotides) under uncultured bacterium. RNAcentral's name for it is "partial 16S ribosomal RNA". It matches the Rfam family "Bacterial small subunit ribosomal RNA", at positions 355 to 829 of the family's 1533-position model. The record is from RNAcentral.